UUGACUCUAGUCUGACUCUGUGAAGAGACAUGAGAGGUGUAGCAUAAGUGGGAGGCCGUGAACCCUCGCGGUUGUGUCGUGCCGUCAGUGAAAUACCACUACUUUCAUCGUUUCUUUACUUACUCGGUGAAGCGGAAAGCGGACCAUGAGUGUCCACGCUUCUAGCACGAAGUGCAAGGCCCUUCGUUGGCCCGCACGAUCUGUUCCGAGGACAGUGUCAGGCGGGGAGUUUGACUGGGGCGGUACAUCUGUCAAAUGGUAACGCAGGUGUCCUAAGGCGAGCUCAGCGAGGACAGAAACCUCGCGUAGAGCAAAAGGGCAAAUGCUUGCUUGAUCUUGAUUUUCAGUACGAUUACAGACCGCGAAAGCGGGGCCCCUCGAUCCUUUUGACUUUAACUCUUUCAGGCACAGAAGUUUUGUUGAAAA
RNAcentral lists this non-coding RNA (426 nucleotides) under Ixodes scapularis (black-legged tick). RNAcentral describes it as "Eukaryotic large subunit ribosomal RNA". It matches the Rfam family "Eukaryotic large subunit ribosomal RNA", at positions 2422 to 2813 of the family's 3401-position model. Lineage: Eukaryota; Metazoa; Arthropoda; Arachnida; Ixodida; Ixodidae. The record is from Rfam by way of RNAcentral.